CACGUAGGCGGGAAUGUAAGUCGGGUGUGAAAUCCCUCGGCCCAACCGAGGAACUGCGCCCGAUACUGCAUACCUUGAGGACAGGAGGGGAGCGUGGAAUUCCUGGUGGAGCGGUGAAAUGCGUUGAUAUCAGGAGGAACACCGGCGGCGAAGGCGACGCUCUGGCCUGUUUCUGACGCUGAGGUGCGAAAGCCGAGGGGAGCAAACG
RNAcentral lists this ribosomal RNA (208 nucleotides) under uncultured bacterium. RNAcentral's name for it is "partial 16S ribosomal RNA". It matches the Rfam family "Bacterial small subunit ribosomal RNA", at positions 568 to 774 of the family's 1533-position model. The record is from RNAcentral.